GGAAGGCACUAUAAUUUGAUUUGAUUGCUGCUGUUCCUUGUUUCUAUGAGUGUUAAGUGAACCAAAUAAUUCCUGUUUGAAAUGAUUCAUUUUCAGUAGAUUUAAGUGGGUUCAAUUCCUAAAAUUUCUCGCCAAUGUUCCAAAUUAUGUUGGUUAUGAGUUGGACAUUAAUGGUGGUGGAAUUGACUAUUUGAAGCUUGUUUCUUCCCCCCUUGUUUCUCCUUACUUUCAUGCAG
This 236-nucleotide unclassified non-coding RNA is filed under the name Hevea brasiliensis (rubber tree). The record is from RNAcentral. Lineage: Eukaryota; Viridiplantae; Streptophyta; Magnoliopsida; Malpighiales; Euphorbiaceae.